This 18379-nucleotide long non-coding RNA is filed under the name Erythranthe guttata (spotted monkey flower). Its description in RNAcentral is "long non-coding RNA (EGUT_LNC003717)". Lineage: Eukaryota; Viridiplantae; Streptophyta; Magnoliopsida; Lamiales; Phrymaceae. The record is from RNAcentral.
GUGCCCGUACUGCUCCAACCUCAUCGUCAACUAUCUAGGCAAGCUCUUCGAUUCCGAUCUCCUUUCAAUCACCGAUUUCAAACUCGUCCCUUACGGCAACGCUAAAAUCAAACCUAACGGCACCAUCACUUGCCAGGUAUUUGUUCGUCCUCUUCAUUCAUUCAUUCAUUUUUUUAAAUUUUUUUUUAAUUUUCAUUAUUGCAGUCUCUAAUUCCUUGUUUGGUUUCUUAAUUUUUUUUUCUCUAAUUAUAUUAUUAAUCGAAAAUUUGGUCAACGGUUGUUUUCCGGCAUAAGGAAAUUUAGAUUCAUUCAGAUUAUAUUGUGAAGCUUAUUAACAAGCAUUUUCUGGAAAAUUAUAUAAUCUGACUGAAGAAACAUGUGAUUGUAUUAUUUUUAAGGAAUACGCGCAACUAAUUACGUCAUUUCUGAUUGCAGCACGGCGAAUGGGAGUGCAUACUGAACACUGUGGAGGCAUGUGCAAUUGAUGCCUGGCCCGAUUUGGUUAGUAUUGCUUUUUUUCGAUUUGGAAUUUGAAAUUAUGUUCGAUUUGAUCGUGAUGAAAAUUCGCUUAUUAAUCGGCGUCCUUAUUUAUUAUACUUGCCGUUCGUUGAGAAGAAUUUGGUUGUAGAAUAUUUGUUUCUCGUAGCUGAUGUUUUCAUUGAAGAAUAAUAUUGAUCCGUCAAACUCCUGAUGCAGAAUACUUAUUUCCCUUUUGUAUACUGUGUGGAAAGUCUUGUGUACGAGCACAAUUAUACCUAUUGGGAAACAUGUUUCGAUAAAUUGGGUUUGGAUCCCUCUCCUGUGGCUGCUUGUUAUAACAGUGAACGUGGAAAAGAGGUUAGUUUUUCUGACUAAUUGUUUAUGUUCGUUCCGUAGCUUUUACUGUGUGACGGAUAUGUUCUUUUUGCAAAUGUUAAGUUUCUUCGUUUUAUUUUAUAUGGUAUGAAGUACAUAAUACCGAUUAAUAAUUCAAUUGUACGAAAGCAGUUAACGCCGAGCAUUUUGAUUUCUAAAGGACUUUUUUCAGAUCUUGAAUUAGUUUUUUGAAGUAAACUCUCAUGGAUAUUCCGAAUUCCAUCUGCAGCUCUACAUAUUUAGGUUAUACUGGGAACUAUUUCACUAUGCUCUUAUCCAAGUCUGCUAUUUGCUUCGUUUUCCGAUAGUUCUAAACUACUGCAUGCAUCUAAUUUGAUAAGGUCAAAAUGAAUUCGGAAGUAGAAGAAAAUUGGCUUUUUAAACAAAAUUGUUUACUCCAUUUCUUCUUUUGUGGUUGAGAACUUCAAUUUAUAACUACUUAUGAAGUCACUUUUGAAAGUUUAAAGAAAAUAAUUCGAUAUUCCAAGAAGCUGCCACGACAGAAAAAGUCGGUAGAAAAAAGCUGCUAGGCUGAUUCCGGUUAAGCCUAUCUUUUUGAGGACUCCAUAUCUAAUACAAUCCUAUGUGUGUUUUGGUCGCGAGGAUUGUUAAUUAAUGACUUGAAAGACAAUAUAUAUUAACUAAUGACAAUGUUGCAACUUAUCUUUUUACUAUAUUCUAAUUUAUUUAGUAGGGGCCAGUUAUCGGCAGACAGCUAUUGACAAUGAAUUUGUUCAUUGAAGAAUUUUAAAAUUAAGAAAGUUAAACUUGAACGAAAGAACUCUAUUUCAUGUUUUUUUUUCUGGUCUGAAUAUGCAUUGACAUGUCGACAUGCGAGGAAUCCUAUUGUUCCUACAUGCUUGCUAUGCACACAUGUAUUUUCUUUUUCUUGAUUUGGCAAUUUGUAAAGUAACGUAAUGUGAUUAAUUAAAACGGUAAUGCAGCUUAUACUAGGAUACGCCGCUGACACGCAAGCACUCGAACCACCUCAUAAAUACGUACCGUGGGUAGUUGUAGACGGUGAACCACUUUAUGAUGUAAGUAUAUAUCGUCUCUCUCUCUCUUUCCCUUACAAAUACUAUGAAAGAGAAUAUCCUAAAAAGUGCAUCUUCGACCUGAAAUGUCUUAAUCUACUGUAGGAUUAUCGAAACUUCGUAAGCUAUAUCUGCAAGGCAUAUAAAGGAACUGCGAAGCCAUCUGCAUGCAGUAGUGAAUCAUCCGUUGGACAGAUUCGAAAGGUGAAAAUGAACUUGAUCAAUUCUCUCUUCGGAGAAGAAACAUCCAACUACUCGAAGCUGUUUCAAACAGUACAACAAGCUGUACUUUCAUGGCUGCCGGGAAACAAAGUAGCAGCUUCGUCUUAGUUCCUACAUUGCUCUUUCGCAAUCAAAGAGGUGGUCUCUUGUCCUUGUUUAAAGAUAUAUUUAUACACUCAAGUCAUGUGGUACACAAUUUGUAUGUAUUUUGUAACUUUGGUUAGGCUAAUUAUGCUCUAAAAUAAACUGCCAAGACAAGAGUGUGAUUAAGGUUUGUAUGUCUUGUAAUAUGCUUGUAUGCAAGCAAGGUGUAUACUUAUCAGCAAGUUCAUUGUCGCUCAAGAAUUUGAUACUAAAUUUUAUUUGAAAUUGGAAAUAAUAACAAAAUUAAGCAAAUAAAAUUAAAUACAUAUGAAAAUAUAAAAAUUGAAAAAGUAUGCAAUGCACAGGAUUUGCAAAAAGGAAGAAAAUUUAAAAGGAAGAAAAUUUAAAUAUAUGAAGUUUGAAUUAAGAUUUUUUUUUACUCUUAGUUGCUAUAUAUUUAAGCGUACUUCUAGGGUUUUACUUUUUAAUUUAUUAUAUAUAUAUAUAUAUAUAUAUAUAUAUAUAUAUAAGAUUCUAGGGUUUUACUUAAUUAUCUUCGUGCCAAAAGGAAAAAAACUAAAAUCAUGAAGCUUUUUCUGAAUCCUUUGGUGACUAGUUUGCUGGGUUGUGCGGUAGGCACUUGGAUUUGUUACACGUUACUCGACGAACAUAAGAAAAAGCCACUCGUUUCAGAAAGAGUAACGGAACACGUUCGAGCAAGAUCGACAGCGACUGAGGCCGAUGAUGAUGAUGGUGAGGGUUCGUGACCAAUCAAUAUGUGUUUUUGCAAUUUUACAUUUUCCUUAAAGUUAAUAUAAUGAUAAUUGUUUUGUUUGGUUUCAUUAGAAUUGAUUGUGGAAACAAGAGACGGUUCCCCUCUGCAUUUUAUAACCAAAAUUAAAUCUUACACCUUUUGUUUACUGCAUCCGGUUGAUAAAUUGGAAACUAGGGAAUUUGAAGCCGGAGAUCAUAAAUGGUAUGUUGCUAAUCAGUUAUAUCGAUUCUUUAUAGAGUUAACUUUUUAACUUAUGGUGUUCUAAUUUAUGACCGCUCACAGGAAACUCAUAAUUUAUCCUUAUGGCAAAGAAAGGAACAACAAAUAUGUUUCUGUAUACUUGGCCAUGACAAACACUAGUUCUUUGCCUAUUGAUUGGGAGUUCGAUGCCAUCUUCACUAUCUUUCUCCAUAAUCAGAUCUUGGACAAAUAUUUUUGUUGUCGAGUAAAGCGUCGUUUUAACGGAGCAAAGUGCAAAUGGGGAUUUCCAAAAUUCAUCUCUACAAAUGAACUAGUAGAUAGAUCAAAUGGAUAUCUUGUUGAUGACAAUCUGGUGCUUGGUGCUGAAGUUUUUGUCCUCAAAAGACAACGAGUCGUUGAGAAUGUGAAUGUGCUCCGACCGUCAAUAUUUGUACGCGAUUGGGAGAUUUCAGAAUUCUUAAAAUUGGAAAACGUUUGGACUUCUGAAGAAUUCAAUAUUUGGGGUUUCAAUUGGUAUAUUAUUACGGUUUCGCAGAUGCUACACCAGCUAGUGAAAUACACCGGGCGAUCUGGAACCAUUAAUCUACAUAUAACAACACACGCAUCUAUGUGUAUGUGUGCUUCGUGAAUGAUUAUUUAUAUAGAUUUAUGGAUCAAAACCACCCGGUGUGUUACACCAGCUGUAGCAUCUCAUCGACCUAUCACUACCUUUCCAUUUUGCUUUUCUUUUUCCCUAAUGGCCAAACUUGUCUUUAAUUUCUCAUUAUGGUUCAUACUUAUAUUUGUUAACUUAGGAAAAUAGAGCUAUAUCCAAAUGGGGGCGACUUGAGUUCAAAGGACAAUGCAGUGAAAAUACAUCUGGUGUGUGUUAGUGCUCAUACUUUUGCUACUCAUCAAAAAGUUAAGGCGGAAUUUUAUAUGCGCCUAUUAGACAGGUCUGAUGCAGUAAUACACGAUUCUGGAAAGCGUAAGUAGUAUGUUUAAGGUUUUUUCCGUAAUUUGCUAUGUUUUUUAAUAUGUUGAAAAUUUACGGAUUUUGAUCUUAAAAUUUUCGUAUUUGCAGUUUUUCAUUGGUUUACAUCUUCAAGUACAACUCGGGGCCCUUCAUUCAAAAGUCUUGCUGGCUGUUGCACCCUUUCUGUGGAUAUUUAUCUACAAGUUGCUGUGUAGACAAUGAUUAUUUAGUUCUUAUUCUUUACUUAUUUAAAAUAUUUAAAUUUGAACUUUAAUACUUGAAUACUAUUUUUAUUCUUUUCGUUAUUGUAGCUUUAAUUGUUUGUGUUUGAUUUCAUUUAAGUUGUUAGUUUGCAAAAUUAUCUUUGAAAAGUUGUCAACAUCAAUUAGAUUUCUGAAAAAGAACAAAAAAAAUUAAGAUGUAUGCAUUAGUUCAUCACAACUACAAAUUAGUACAAUUAAAUAUUGGUAACCUGUUUUAACUUUUAAUUAUAUAUAAAAAAAUAGUUAAUAUUAAUUAAUUGCAUGAAACACAAAUAUAACAUAACUACUUACGAAUGUGAUGUUUGGAUCGGGUGUGUUUCGUGAAUCAUGAUUUGUUUUUUAUUAUUAUUAAGGUUAAAUACAUAUUGCACCCUAAUCCUAUCACAUAUUUUUUUUUUUUAUUUCUUCCCUAAUUUUAUUUUCCACAAAGUAAACAUUUCACCCAAAUUAUUAGAAAAAAAGAUUAUCUUCUGAAGAUUAUUUAUAAUUUCCUUUUCAAUUUAUGAUUUUGGCAAUUUUUGUACCUAGCCUAAACAUUUCACCCAAAACUUAUGAAUUUCUUUAAGGGUGCAAAUUUAGACCGGAUGGUCUGUUUUAAUAGAAAAAUCGGAUGCAUAGAAUGAUUGACACGUGGAUAGUUUAAAUAAAAAUAUAAUUAGGAUUCUAAUAAUUGGAAAAAAAAGAAAAAGAAAAAAGAAAACCCCAGCAUAACCCGUAAGUCGUAACCCUCUAACCCUAAUUAUAAUAGCGUAAUUUAUCAAGAGUUAUGACUUAAGAGUGCCACGUGUCAAAAAAAUAGUGGCAUCCGAUUUAUAUUAAAUAUCGGUUGAUCCGCUCAAAAUUUAAUCUCUUUCUUCUGGAUAAUAUUUUAAAAAUAUUUUUAAUUUCUUAAAAUUUUAUAAUUUUAUUUUUAGCCAAAAUAAUCUCGAUUUAAAAUGCUUCAUGUAGUUCUAAUUCUCAAAAUUUACACAUUUUAUUUUUUACGUCCAAACACUACAUGACAUAUUUUUCUAGAACCACUUGUAGAUGCAACCGAGUGCUACAUAAUAGAGUAUAAAAAUUGCCCAAGUAAUGAAUUAAAAAAAUGCCUACUUAUAUCAUAUAAAUGUAAGGAUAAAAUGGUAACUACGCUACAUAAACUAACGGUGUUAGAGACUUGAGGGUUGACCAUUACUUGAAGUGCCACUUUGUCGCAUUUUAUAGUACAUGUGGGCCGGGUGCAAUUUGUAUUUAAUUUAACCCUUGUUAUUAUUGUCUUCUUUGUCAAUAAUCUGAAAUAAAUUAACGAGAUUUUAUAUAUGUUACGUCGGAUUGUGCUAAUUAAUUAAUAUCCAUGCAAGAAUUGUAUGUUUAAACAUAUGUUACGUCGGACUGUGCUAAUUACGUACGACUAGCGAAUCUUGUGGUUUUCUCAAGAUAAAAUGUUCCAUUGAGUGAGUCGGAUUGUACUAAUUACAUACUAUAGGAAGAAUAGAGUUGGAUAAAGAGAAAGAGAGUUGUAUAUUACUCAUAUAUAUAGUUACAUGUAGGAAACCCUAACCUACACAAAAUUACAUGCCAAAAUUACAAGAUAUAUCUAUAAUAAAUAAUAAUAAUAAUAAUAAUAAUAAUAAUAAUAAUAAUAAUAAUAAUUGUGAAUACGUACGACUAGAGAAUCUUGUGGUUUUCUCAAGAUAAAAUGUUCGAUUGAGUGAGGGUCGAUUGUGUUUCUCGCUACGUUCAGAGCUGACUAAUAACUGAUCAAAAAAAAAAAACGGAACUUAGGGAAUCUUCAAUAAAACUAGAAAAUGCAUGUGUACAUAAAUAUAUAUGAACAAGAUUUUGUACAAGUAAUGUAGUAAUUUUGUACCUUCUUAUAAAUUAGUGAUAGCAGGUUCUCGGGGCUAAAAAUUGUAGGAACCCCAUAUUGAAGAUAGAUAUAUCUGAAAUAGUAUGUGUUAGAAUUUAUUUCGUGCAGAUAUAAAUUAUUUGUGUCAGAUUCAGUUUUUCGUUACUGUUGCGUGAAGUGUGUUGCAACAGUUCGUGAAGCAGUUCGUAAAAACAGAAAUAAACGAGACACAAAUUUUAAUGUGGUUCGGAUACAAUUGUACCCUACAUCCACGGGGACCUGCAAAUAAAAUUUACUAAUUUUUAGUUUUACGAAUACAAUAAUAGGACUUAAUCAAAAUACAAAGACUCCCUCUUUGUUGACGCCGUUCUCGUAUACUACGCUGAAUUAUAAAUCUUCAAUUUGCAGCACGUCCCUUGCUCCGCACGGUUGAACUCCCUUCAACGCUGAAUCCCUCAGUCGGCGGAUCGAUCUCCUCCCGAGAUCUGUUUAAGCCCCUCUCCCGAAGAACCGAUCUUCUUUUUAUAUAGAAGAAGCAAACUUGUGAUACUCCUUGAAUCUUGGUGUCUUCACCACAAAGCCUUGAAGCCGAUAUAUUUUCUAUGAAAAUCACGUAUCACGAUGGAACAAUAAAAAACGAGAGGAAAAAUAUUUUCUGUGAAAAACUUCUCUCGAUCAAAGACGUUCCGGGAGCAGAAAAAUAUAAUUUUUCUUCUCCAACAAAAGGCGUAGAGUAUGAGGCGCCGUUCUGCUGUGUUUAUACAUCUACGGGUGAUAAGAAUCCUACAAGGAAAAUAGAGUCCAUUAGGGUUAGGAAACUCUUAAUUACGUAGGAAACAAUAUUUUCAAUACAAGGAAACUCUUUAGAACAAUAAUUCCUAUUAUAAAUCAAUUAAUGACAAAUUAAAAGAAUUAAAAGCUACAAGGACUCUUCCCUUCUUUAGCUCACGGUAUAUGCAAACUUGUGGCACAAGUUUCCUUAAUUCUCGUAUAAUUAGAAUCCAUGGGAUUCUAACAGUAUGUGAUGAUGUUAAUUAUUUAGAUCACCUGGGGUAGUGUAGUAAAUGAACUAGGAGAGCAAAGUUGAUCAGUAGCUUCACAAUUUGAUGAUCCCGGCGGAAAUCCCUCCGACGCUCAAGUUAGAUGUACGGAUCGUGGAGAUGGUAGAGAGAAUAUGCACUCUAGGAUACUUGGGAAUAAAUAGAACGUACCUUAACAAAUGAAUAAAAACAUUUAUUUAUAUGUCGUUGAUUGGGUUGAGUUUACUUUGUUGGGCACAAGCCUUAUUUUGAAGGCGUUUGGGCUCUCGCGUAACGGGUAUAAUUGGGCCCAAUUAUUAUAUAAAUUGGGGGCCCAUUGGGUCGGCCCAAUUAGUUAUAUUAGUAGGAUAUAUAUAUUUAUAUAUAUAUAUAUAUAUAUAUAUAUAUAUAUAUAUAUAUAUAUAUAUAUAUAUAUAUAUAUAUAUAUGGAGAGUGGUCAAAAAAUUGAUCUUUUUUUCCGAGGGAUGAAAGUAGUCGGAGGAAUUACUGUGGGCGUAUUGGCGCUAAUCGCCUAUCGGAAUUCGGAUAUAGCUCUGCAACAGAUGGAGAAGAGAAUUGUAGGCGCUGUGGAGGCGGCGGUGGCGAGGGUUGGAGUUGGCGGCGGCGUGGCGGGAAGGGCGGCAUCCACCACCGGAGUUGAUGGUCAGGUGGUGACUGAGACUGUUGCUGGGGUGGCGUCGUCGACUUCGACGUCGGUUCCUGCAGGAGCAGUUGUGAAGGCGGCGUCUUCUACCACUGGACUCGGUGGCGCGGCCGGAGCCGUGACGACGGCGAGUGGAGGAGUCGUUAACAAAAGGGCGAUACUAUUGUUGGCCGCCGGGGCCGUUGGGUGUACUUUUCUUUACUAUACCUGGAAAAGGGUCAAGCGCCGACGCGAUUCCGGCGACUUCGUGAGUGCCGAUGACGUGGCGAAAUUUCUGGAACUUUGGGCUGACUUGCCUAAUGAGCUCCACGUGGACCGGUCCACUGGAUUUAUCACUGUUUCUCCUGAUAAGACCCAUACCGUAGCGGACCUGCUCGCUCUGCUUAAAGAAAAUAACAUUCUCAUGGUAUGUUUUUUUUUCUUUUUUUUUUUUAUUUAAUUUUUUUUUAAUAAUAUAUUUAGGGUUGAUUUUGUAUAUAGAACAUAGCCAAACGCCGCCUCCGAGACAUUCUUUUUUUUUUUAUUUAAUUUUUUUUUAAUAAUAUAUUUAGGGUUGAUUUUGUAUAUAGAACAUAGCCAAACGCCGCCUCCGAGACAUUCUUGAACGCAACGCGCGGAGGAAUCCGGCGGCCCGCCGCCGUGAACAGGUAUAUAUAUAUAUAUUUUUUUUUUCUUUAGGGUUAAACUAUGGGAUGUUUUUUAUUUUAUUUUAUUAUUUUGUUAAUUACUUUAAAUACAGAUUAUUAUAUUUUUAUUUAUUUGCAGGCUGAGAAGAGGAGCAUAGUGAAGUCAACUUAGAUGCUGAUAGACGUACAUUUACAUUUUGUUUUUUUGAAAUGCAAUAUUCAUCUUCAACUGGCAUUGGCUCAUGAAAAAAAAUGUAACAAAAAUUUAGCCAAAAUAGUUGAAAUAUCGAAACUGAGAACAAAUACAUAAUUGCAUUGUACGACUUAGUUUACCUUUACCAAAAAGCUUCGUAGAACAAAUACAUAAUUGCAAAAAAAAAUUCCCAACGUUUGCGAAGUCAUUUUCUCCAUAUAUAGAUACCCAAUGAAUCAACUAUUCCUUGAGACGAUUUAGUUCGAAGUUCUUUCUGAAGUUGUCCACAAUCCAAACGAGAUUCCUCCAACGUAACAUAUGACGAUUUUAAUUUAAAUGAUAAUACAUUAUUCACUUAAGUUAAAUGUCCGUGAUCGAUACAACUAGAUGUCGUGGGUGUAUCAGAGAUUUGCAAAUGUUCAACAUAAAACUGAAAUAAACACCCAAAUAUUUGUUUCCAUAUAUAAAUAGCUGCAAUAUAAUUUUCUAAAAGUGCAACAAAAACAUAAAUGAUUAAUUUGUUUAAAAGUUUUGUUUAAAGUCAUAUACAAUGUAUGUAUCAAAAAAAUAAUUUAGUUUAUGCUUGCUUGGCACAAGCUGAAUUAAGAAGAUAAAAACCAUAGAGGUAACUGACAUUUUACUAAUAACACAAAAUAAGAAGAUGAAAAAUCGAUGUUUACCGUCAUAAUGAAAGUGGAAAAGAAGAAAUAAUAUUUUUAACAAAACAAUAUAAAUUCACAUUUGAGCUUCAACAUAAAUAUAUUAAUAUAAGAAAUAGUAUAAAUUAUAUAACUAUUUUGAUAAGUGAGGAUUUUUUUAAAAAACGUGGCAUUAAAUUUUUUAUUGUUGCUAUUUAUAAUAUUUUAAAAAUAUGUGUAAAAAAUAAAUAUUAAAAUAACAAAGUUAAUUUAAAAUGUAAAAUAAAUUAAUUAUUUUAUUGUUUAAAGGAAAAAUAACUACGUUCAUUUAAAUUUAAGAGACCAUGUUUUUUUUUAAAUUUAAACAUAAACAUUGGCUUACUAAAGAUGAAAUUGAAUUAAGGUCAUAAAUUAAUCAUUUGGAAUAGUUAUUUCAUUAAUUAAGUGAAAAUACUAACUUUUUAGAUAUUACUUCAAACUUAAUAAGUUUGAGUUAAUUGAAAAAGAAUUUAAUAAUAUACAAAAGUGAAGAUAUUUAUUCCUAAAACAUUUAGAUAAUAUACUAAAACAUAAUAAUGUAUUAAAAACAUAAAAUGAAGAUAUUAAUUCUUCAAACUAAUUCUUAUAAGCUUUAUUUUCAAUGAAUAUAACAAAUUUUAUGUAACAAAAUUUUGUAAUUGAAAUAAAAGCAUAAAUCCAUGUAGGCCCCCCGAUUUGGUAGGAAAUAAUUAGCUCUCAGCAAAAUGAGAAGAAAAGCAAAUUAGUGUUGUGGGCCCUGAUUUUGUUGGACAAAAAAUAGAGGAAAGAAAGAAAAAAAAAAAAAAAGUGAGUCGAACCAAAUAUAAGGUAUUAAAUUAAAUUCUAAAUUAAAUUGAAUUUGCACGUGAAAAUGGAAAAUUAAAGAAAACAAAAUACGGCGUCGUUUAGGGGUGAAACUGAAUUAAAAAAGUGGAAAAUAUAUUGGGAAGCACUGUAGAAAUUUUCCUACACAUUUAUAAGAUAUAUAUAUAUAUAUAUAUAUAUAUAUAUAUAUAUAUAUAUAUAUAUAAAGAUUUGGAAAUUUUGGUUAUGAUCAUGCAGGAAAGCAAACUGUGAUUAUUAAGUACACAUGAGAAAAAAUUCAUGCAUAUAGUAUAUGUAGUACAACUAUUUUUAAAAUUGCAUAAAAAAUGGAUUUUUUUUUUUGUUUUAUAUAUAAUCUUUGUUUUCUAAUCAUUUGGAAAACAAGAAAGAUCGUUUAAAUAAUUUAAAUCAAUAAAAGAAAACGUAAAGAUUUGUUAUUAAAAAUCUUGAAUUCCAUCAACGUUAGUUGUAUUAAUUAAAUUAUAGUAAAUAUGUCAUUUAAAAUUUGUAUUAAAUAUUGGUAUUAAAUAUUUUUUUUCAGUUUGUAAAAGUACCUUAUUUAAGCUAAUAAAUGGAUUCACAAAUAUACAUAUAUACAUAUGCGGUCAACACUCAACACUCCAUAAAGGAGGGUAAAUUAGUCAUUUAGGCACUCUCUCACCGGCCUUGACCAAACAUUGACCAUUGAACACAUGUUCCCCACUUCUCCGGGAAAUGUGUGCAUUUCCCAUUUUCCCAUUUUAGCCCUACGGAGCAUUGACCUCUGAUUUUUCUACUUCUUUUCUUUCCCCAUUCUCUCGCCGCCGCCGUUGUUCUGCUCCAAUGGAGAGAAUUACGCGCUUCCCAAUUUUCUGAUUAAAUUUUCCGGCGAAGAUUAAAGAGUGAAGAAAACCGUCGAAGGAGCUAGCCCUACAAUCUUCACAGAUCGGAAAAGGGCCGAAACCGCAGAGGAAAAAAAAAGGGGGUUUCGGGGAGGUGUGGGACCCCCUUUUCUCCGAUCGUGAAGUUUGUCCGGCGGUUACGCCACACGCGCUGUGUGAAUUUACAAGCACGAGAUUUUGGUAUUCUACACAUGUUUGCCACCUUUUUUUAUUCUUCCUAUGCGUAUGUCUGUUCAUAUAUUGUUUUUUUAAUUGAAUAUAAAAUCGGAUUUUAUGCCUCUUAGGUGUUUGCUUUUUUUACUGUUCGGCGUUUUUUUUUUCCAUAUGAAGGCUUCGCCUCUUUCAAUUUUUUGGUUGGAUUAUGCGAUGAAUGAUUGAUGAUUAAUUCUACAGUUUCUCUUCGAAUCGGUGGUGCAGUGCUGGUGGUUUUUUUGUAAUUAGGGAGGUCGGAAUGAGGUCGAAGAUAAUUCAUUUAGUGUUGGGGUUAAUCCUGGUGGUUCUUCUAUCUGGUGAGUGUUCUAUGGCGACUUCUCCUUUUGUUCUUCGUUUGGUUUGGUUUUUAUUUAUUUGAACGAAUAAUGUAAUAUUUGAAAAUUGAAUUUCUCGAGUCGUGUUUUGGAUUAUACCAUAGCAUUUAUUGGUGUUUGCUCGUGCUCUCUGAUGAUUACUACUUCGAUUGAUUUUACGUCUCUGUAGAACUUUUGUUUAACAACAUUGAUGUUAAAACCGAUAGUUCCGACCUUAUUUGCAUCAAACAUUAUUAGGACCAUGAGUUAUGUUUCUUGUAUGUCGUUCUUCAGCCACGACGAGUUUCUUUUGUUAACUAUAUUUUUAAAUUCCUCUUUUUCAGUUUGUACAAUAAAGGCAUUGGCGUCGGAUGAUGGUUAUAAGCAGUGUGAAAAUACUGUCAAGAAAUGGGCAUCCUCUUCUGUUGAUCACAAAGUUCAAGAAGACAAACAUUCCUUACGCGAUUUGCUCUUUUUCCUUCAUGUACCUCGAACAGGAGGAAGAACAUAUUUCCACUGGUAAUUUUUUUUAUUGGUUUUUCUGUGCUAUGGAAAAUAGAUUCUAAUCAGUGAUAAUACUUCAAAGUUUGCAUCACGGCACAAAUUACUGACUGUUGUUUGUUGUGCUAUUUUUUUUUUUCAAAUUUAUUUUGUAGUUUCUUGAAAAAGUUGUACUCGAACUCCCAAGAAUGCCCACGGUCCUAUGAUAAGUUAAGAUUUGAUCCAAGGUAAUUGUUAUUGUCCUUCCUCUUUUAGUCUGAGAAAUCAUUGAUUUGUUAAAUAGUUUGAGUUAAUCGGUUAUUAUGAAAUCAGCUAAUGAGAAUUUGCUCGAUGCAUAAAGAGAUUUUCCUUUGUUGCCAAAUGUUUGUUGUCAUGGUAUGUUCCGAAAUCUAUUUAUAUAUAUAUAUAUAUAUAUAUAUAUAUAUAUAUGUGUGUGUGUGUGUGUGUCAACUUGAGUAAUCAUAAAGAAUCUUAGAUGCCAAAAAAAAAGUUAGUAACCGACAGGUUAUGGCCUCUUAAUUAUUUGAACAUGUCUAUUUUCAGUCCUCUUGCUAGACAAAAUAAACAUUUGUUGAUAAACAAUCCCGUGUACAAUGUGUGAUAAACAGUCAAAACACAAAAGAGAAGAUUUCAUGAAGUAGUUUGUCUCUAGAUAUUACAAUGCCUUUUUUAUCUUAUGAAAUAGUAGUGUUGUUUUUCUACACACGUUACAGAGAUAUCUAAGAUUUGGAAUAUUUGUUUAUCAUCAUGCAGAAAAGCAAACUGCCGUUUGUUAAGUACCCACGAUGACUACAGCAUGAUGUCGAAACUUCCCAAGGAGAAAACUUCAGUGGUGACAAUACUUAGGAACCCAAUCGACCGUGUUUUUAGCACUUACGAGUUCUCUGUGGAGGUGGCUGCUAGAUUCUUGAUUCAUCCCAACUUAUCAUCUGUUGCAAAAAUGGCUCAACGUGCACGUCGUAAGACUUCCGCAGUGAGCACACUAGAUAUAUGGCCAUGGAAGUAUUUGGUUCCUUGGAUGAGAGAAGAUCUAUUUGCUCGAGUAUGUUCUAGAACAUCACUUCGAGUUAUAUAUUUGCGCAUUGAGUAUCCUAUCUAACAGUCGAUUUUACCCGUCUUGACAGAGGGACGCUAGAAAACUUAGAGGGCAAUCUCAUUUAGUGACAAACGACUCGUACGACAUGGAAGACGUAUUGAUGCCUCUACAUGAGUACAUUAACGACCCGAUUGCUCGAGACAUUGUCCAUAACGGUGCCACCUUCCAGGUAUCGUAGUAAACUUUUUCGUCUUAUAUUGAUAUGGUGUUAAAAAAAAUAGUAAGCUCCUGAGAUUGUUUCGUUGAUGCUGAUAACACUGUUUUGUUCUUCAUUGAGAAAAAAAAUCAUAAGAAAACGAUGGUUUAUGCAAAACCAAGUUUCUGAUGUAUUUACACUUGAAUUCUCAGAUUGUAGGUCUCACAAACAACUCGUAUUUCGGGGAAGCACACGAAGUCCGUCAUUGUGUACUUAAGUACCAUUCUCUCGGUGACCUUGUUCUUGAAGUUGCAAAGGUAUGGGGAAAGGUCUAAAUCGAGCAUGUUAGUUAUCUGUUACGUUCAUUUCCGUUUUUAUACAGUUUCUUCGUUUUUAUGGCUUCAAUCAUGGGCGAAAGUUCUAAAUCUUGCAGAGAAAGUUAGACAAUAUGCUCUACGUUGGACUGACUGAAAACCAUAAAGAAUCGGCCACCAUGUUUGCGAAUAUCGUUGGUUCACAGGUGAUAUCUCAGCACACAAUAUCAAGCUCCGGUUCAGAUGUUGCAGGUAAUAACGAUUCAAAUUAGUUUGUCUGAAUUAAUUCGCUCGAACUAUAUAGAACUAAUAGUCUCUGUGCAAUCUUUGGGAAUUUAUUAUUCGAUUCCAAUUGUUAAGUAUAUCGUUACUCAUCUUAUUGAAUUCUUAUCUACUGCAGAAAAGAGGUCCUUGCUUUCUAGUACAAAUUCUGAUCUGACCGGUCAAGUAAGAAGCUAUAUUUUCAUCUGAAUGCGUGUUACAAUCAAAUGCCGUGAUGUUUAGCUUCGUAUUUUUUUCUGAUUACAGAGCAACAGCACUCAUGAAACCCUAAAAAAUGUUUCAUCAACUGGCGAGGAUGAAGUAAGACGUGAAAAUGUGCGUUUGCAAUUUUUAUUUAUUUUUUUUCCAUUUCUUUUGCAUAAUUGAGAUGUGGAUCUGAGGUCUCUGUGUCGUUUUUGUCAGUUGACUGUCGGGAAACUAAUGGAAGCGUACGAGUCAUGUAUUGCAAACUUAAGAAACUCCCAAGCAGAGAGGCGUGUAAAUUCUCUCAAGCGAAUUUCUCCAGCAAACUUCACAAAAGAGGUUUGUUUGUUUGAUAACUUCAUUGCAGAUUUUCGAUGAUCGUAAUGAAUUAAUGCACUGAUAUUAUUAGCGUAAAUAUUUUUCAGGCCCGUCGGCAGGUUUCGAAGAUUCUUAUCGAGGAGAUAGAAUCACUCAACAGCCUAGAUAUGAAGCUCUAUACAUACGCUCAACAUAUCUUCACAAAGCAACAGACACACGUGUUGCACAACAUGGUUUCUGCUGUAAGUUACCAUCUCUUGUCUGAAUUUUACGGCGUAAUUAUAAAUUCCAUAUUUAUUACAAAGAUUACAGACGGCAUUGACCAAAGUAUAUGCUCAUGGUUUACUUAGUGUUUCUACUACUCGAAUGUUUGAGAACGGUUGUCUGAUUAUAGUUCUCGUUUUUUGCAUGAUUUAAAUAGCAGGAAAUUCAGACAAACACACAAUCGACAAGCGCGUAUCCGAUUUUCAACAACCCCCCUUCUUGGAAACUGUCUAUAUCCGUCACCGCUCUCUUGUUAGUUCUCUUCAUUUUUCUGUUUGUAAAUUCAAGAAGAAGAACAUCAAAAGUUAAGUUGUAAAUCUCAGUUGCAUUAUAGUAGAAGAAAAGAAAAGGUGCAGUAUUGACAAAAUAACUAAGUUUUUAGUCACUCCAGUAGUCCUGUUUUACUAUUCUACCCUUGUUUUACAGGGAUAUUAACAAGCCUGUCUCGCUAUUCCCAACGCCCCAUCCCCUCAUUUUUUUUUUCUCUUUUAGAAUAUGAGGAUGAAUAUUGUUUUUCAUUUAGAAGCCACUGGAUUAUGGGGCAAAUUACCGACACCCCUGAGUUAAGGUCAAAUCACGAAAAAAUUCAUGUUGUUUGAGUAAUUACAAUCACCCCUCAAUUAUGUAUUUGUCUUACGAAAAAAACUCAUUAUUUAGUAGGUAAAUUUGACACCAAAAUGAUGGAUGUGUAAGACACUAGAUAGUUAAGGAUAUGCUUGUAAUUACCCAAACAUGAGGGGUUUUUUCAAAAUUCAACCUUACAUGAGGGGUGUCUGUAAUUUACUCCUAAAUUAUAUUUGACCAUCAUAACCAAUGUUGAAAAUCAAAUCAAGUUACUGAUACUUUAUUCGAACUCGGUUUGUUAACAUAACGAAUCAAGUUUGAGUCGCUUCGUUAGUCCUGUUUUACUAUUCUACCCUUGUUUUACAAAUUUGUAGCCCAGAGGUAUUAACAAGUCUUUUAGAAUAUGAGGAUGAAUAUUGUUUUUCAUUUAGAAGCUACUGGAUUAUAGGCCAAAUUACGGACACUCCCCUAAGGUAAGAUUAAAUUACGAAAAAUCCCUCUUGUUUGGGUAAUUACAACCACCCAUCAAUUAUGUAUUGUCUUACGAAAAAAACCCAUCAUUUAGUAGGUAAAUUUGACACCAAAAAGAUGGACGUAUAUAAGGCAAUACAUAGUUAAGGGAAUGGUUGGUAAUUAUCCAAAUAUGAGGGUGUUUUUCAUAACUUAACAUUACCUGAGGGGGUGUUCGUAAUUUGCUCCUGGAUUAUAGUUGACCAUCAUAACUAAGGUUGAAAAUCAAAUCAAGUUACUGGAUACUUUAUUCGAACUCGGUUUGUUAAAAUAACGAAUCAAGUUUGAACACGUAUUUUCGUUUGAUCAAUUAAGCCCGGUUCGAUAAAAAAUCGAACAAGUUCUUAUUCGCUUACAUCCAUAAUUAAAAAUUAAAUAAAUAAUAUUAAAAAAAGUGAGAGUGAAGUAAAGCAAUAAAUUCUAUAUAAUACAGUCACAUGUGAGAUGUUGGGAUUUUCAACUCCUUUGGGCCUCCCAAUAAAUGAAAAAUAUUUAUAUUCUUCAUCUGCAUUUAAUAUUGGGGCCUAACAUAGUGUAUAGUGAACAUGGUACCAUACCACAUUUCAACAUUUCUUCAUUUUAAUUAGUUGACUUAAUUUAUUUUAUUACCAAAAAUUUUGUUAAUUAAUGCGUUAAAUCACAUUUGAUUAACGUUGAUAUUUUUAUUAAUUAAAACGAUUCUUUUCAUUUAAUAACACAUAUUCAACGAUUUAUUUAAUAGUGCAGCAUAAAAAACCCCAAAUAAUGUAGAGUAGAAAUGAAGUAAAUUUGGUACGAGUUAGUUGUGAUUUUGGCCCCUUUGCUUUCUAAUCAUUAAAUUCAAACCUAAAAAAAAUGUUCAACCACAUGCAUGUUCUUUUUACUCAUAAUAUGAGUACUCUAAAAUAAAAUAAAAUAAUUAUUAUUUUAUAUAAAAUAAAUAUAUGUACAUCCAAGAAGCUUAAUUUUAUAAAGGAAUUAUAUGAAAAUAUAAUUUUGUACAUAAAAAUAUAUAUACUUUGUGUUUUUAUGAAAAAUAUGUAAUAUUGUAGAAGGCCAUGACUUUUGACUUUUUAUUUUGCGUAGGCUCUUCGAACUCUAGAACCCAUUGACGGAACGAGUAUAGGGUCAACGGAGGCCACGAUCCCUCCGAACAUUUCUCAAAUCUCUAUUAACUUAUAUAAAAAUAUAAUUUUACGGCCAUCCUCCUUAAAGUUAAAUUAUGAAAAGAUGUAUCUUAUUUGCGUAGUUACAACUAUCUCCGACUAUGUAUUUUCUUAUGAAAAAACACUCGUCCAGUAAGUAAAUUUGAUCCGUAAAAAUAGAUGUGUAGGACAAUAUAAUUAAUGGAGCGACUGUAAUUACUCAAACAUGUAGACUGUGGCCGUAAUUUACCUAAAAUUCUAAUACACUUGGCCACCGAUGCUCAAAAUCCUGACUCUGCUAGAACCGACAGUCAAAUUUACUCAAUAAACGUAAUAAUAUAUAAUUAUGGAUUCCUUUCUUUAUUUAAAAAUAAAAAUGAAAAUAAAUGUGGGACAGGGCUUCUGAAUACAUUUAACUGUACUUAUUUGUAAUUUUGUACACUGUCUUUUCCAACAGUAAAAAUCCUGACAAAGCCCACAUUAUUAUUAGAUUUCACAUUACACUCAAUAAAGUGAAAAAAAGGAAAUUAGAAAUUUCCCCAAUUUCGCUGCCCUAUCUUUUCUCUCUCCAAAAAACCCCCCUUCUCUCUCCUCUCUCUCUCUCUCUUCUCCACAAUCCCAAAUGGCGUAAUAAAGGUUCUUCUUCUGGUAAGCACAAUCACCAUUUUCCAUUCUCAUGCAAAAUUUCUUUUCAAUUUAACCUAACUGGUACUGCGAUUUCUCUACGAAGCUUAAUUUUUUUUUUUUUGGGAAAAAAACUGAUUUAUUCUUCUUCCUGCUUUCUGUUAGUCUCUGUUUGGUAAUCCGUGAAUUUAGGGUUUUCGAAGCUGACCUUUUUUUUUUUCUGGUGUUCUUCCUUUUUUAUGUUUCAGCUGCCAAACAGAGCCUUGUUUUCGAUUUACCCAAGCACACGUAUUUUUAAUUUUUAAUUUUUUAAAGUAUUUGCCUUUAUUUCUAUUUUUAUUCCAUUUAAUCAGAAUCUGCCAUUUUCAACACCAGAUUUGGUGAGCUGGAGACAGUGAUUUUAUACCUUUUUCUUUUCAUUUUUCCAACUUUUUUUUUAUUAUUAUUUUUAAUUUACUAUUUAAUUUAAUUUAUUUAUUUACCUUACGGUAAAUUUAUGAUUCUAUGGAAUCCUAUUUUGGUAUAUUCUUUUAUCCGUACCAGGAUUCUUAAGCAAAUUGUUAAUUAGUGUCCAAAUACAUAGAUAUCACCGCCCCCUAAUUUGAUAAUUAUUGAUCCCCAUCUGUUAGGUUAAAAAAAAAUUAAAAAAAAUCCAAUUGAUAUUUUUCCUAAUUAUUUUUUCCAUUUAAUGUUUAUGCAUUUUCCUUAACCAAUACUGCAAAAUCUCAUCGAAUGGUGUCUGUAUAUAUAUAUCUAUUUAUUUAUUUACGUGUGAGUGAGAUAGUUCUUAUUGAAUUAUUAACCAGAACAAAUGUAUUAAUCUUGUUAUUUUAUGUAUUUAUUAUUUAUUUUUUUAAUUCUUUUGUUGUCGGUUUU